UACGUAGGGUGCGAGCGUUAAUCGGAAUUACUGGGCGUAAAGCGUGCGCAGGCGGCCCGUUAAGUCAGGUGUGAAAGCCCCGAGCUUAACUUGGGAAUUGCGCUUGUGACUGGCGUGCUGGAGUGUGGCAGAGGGAGGUGGAAUUCCACGUGUAGCGGUGAAAUGCGUAGAGAUGUGGAGGAACACCGAUGGCGAAGGCAGCCUCCUGGGCCAGCACUGACGCUCAGGCACGAAAGCGUGGGGAGCAAACAGG
RNAcentral lists this ribosomal RNA (253 nucleotides) under uncultured bacterium. RNAcentral describes it as "partial 16S ribosomal RNA". It matches the Rfam family "Bacterial small subunit ribosomal RNA", at positions 524 to 776 of the family's 1533-position model. The record is from RNAcentral.